ACUGGAACUGAGACACGGUCCAGACUCCUACGGGAGGCAGCAGUGGGGAAUAUUGCACAAUGGAGGAAACUCUGAUGCAGCAAUGCCGCGUGAAGGAUGACGGUUUUCGGAUUGUAAACUUCUUUUAUAUACCAAGAUAAUGACGGUAGUAUAUGAAUAAGCACCGGCUAACUCCGUGCCAGCAGCCGCGGUAAUACGGAGGGUGCAAGCGUUACUCGGAAUCACUGGGCGUAAAGGGUACGUAGGUGUUCUAAUAAGUUGGAUGUGAAAUCCUAUGGCUUAACCAUAGAAGUGCAUUCAAAACUGUUAGAAUAGAGUUUGGGAGGGGUAAGUGGAAUUAGUGGUGUAGGGGUAAAAUCCGUAGAUAUCACUAGGAAUACCAAAAGCGAAGGCGACUUACUGGAACAAUACUGACACUGAGGUACGAAAGCGUGGGGAGCAAACAGGAUUAGAUACCCUGGUAGUCCACGCCCUAAACGAUGAAUGCUAAUCGUUGUGAGGCUUUGACCUUGCAGUGAUGCAGUUAACACAUUAAGCAUUCCGCCUGGGGAGUACGGUCGCAAGAUUAAAACUCAAAGAAAUAGACGGGGACCCGCACAAGCGGUGGAGCAUGUGGUUUAAUUCGACUAUACGCGAAGAACCUUACCUAGCCUUGACAUUGAUAGAAUCUUAUAGAAAUAUAGGAGUGCCUUUCGGGGAACUUGAAAACAGGUGCUGCACGGCUGUCGUCAGCUCGUGUCGUGAGAUGUUGGGUUAAGUCCCGCAACGAGCGCAACCCUUAUCUUUAGUUACUAACGGUUCGGCCGAGGACUCUAAAGAGACUGCCCUCGCAAGGGGGAGGAAGGUGAGGACGACGUCAAGUCAUCAUGGCCCUUACGGCUAGGGCUACACACGUGCUACAAUGGGGUGUUACAAUGAGAUGCAAUGUCGCGAGGCGGAGCAAAACUAUAAAGCACCUCCCAGUUCGGAUUGGAGUCUGCAACUCGACUCCAUGAAGUUGGAAUCGCUAGUAAUCGCGAAUCAGCCAUGUCGCGGUGAAUACGUUCCCGGGUCUUGUACUCACCGCCCGUCACACCAUGGGAGUUGAAUUCACCUGAAGUCGGAAUACUAAAUUAGUUACCGCCCACGGUGGGUUCAGCGACUGGGGUGAAGUCGUAACAAGGUAACCGUAGGAGAACCUGCGGUUGGAUCACCUCCUUUCAGAG
This 1205-nucleotide ribosomal RNA is filed under the name uncultured Campylobacterota bacterium. RNAcentral's name for it is "bacterial SSU rRNA". It matches the Rfam family "Bacterial small subunit ribosomal RNA", at positions 312 to 1533 of the family's 1533-position model. Lineage: Bacteria; Pseudomonadati; Campylobacterota. The record is from RNAcentral.